This 159-nucleotide ribosomal RNA is filed under the name Calycofera operculata. RNAcentral describes it as "5.8S ribosomal RNA". The record is from RNAcentral. Lineage: Eukaryota; Oomycota; Peronosporomycetes; Peronosporales; Peronosporaceae.
UCAAGUGGGUGUGUGGUCUGUCGCUCUCGGGCGCGGGUCGCACUUCCGCUUCUGUUUGAACCCAUACUUAACUUCUGAACAUACUGUGGGGACGAAAGUCCUUGCUUUGAACUAGAUAGCAACUUUCAGCAGUGGAUGUCUAGGCUCGCACAUCGAUGA